GCUCAAUUGGUUGAACGUCUGACUUCGGCUCGGGUCAAGGUCUUGAGGUUUGUGGGUUCAAGACCCACAUUGGGCU
RNAcentral lists this transfer RNA (76 nucleotides) under Felis catus (domestic cat). It matches the Rfam family "tRNA". From Rfam's summary of the family: Transfer RNA (tRNA) molecules are approximately 80 nucleotides in length. Their secondary structure includes four short double-helical elements and three loops (D, anti-codon, and T loops). Lineage: Eukaryota; Metazoa; Chordata; Mammalia; Carnivora; Felidae. The record is from Rfam by way of RNAcentral.